RNAcentral lists this ribosomal RNA (482 nucleotides) under uncultured bacterium. Its description in RNAcentral is "partial 16S ribosomal RNA". It matches the Rfam family "Bacterial small subunit ribosomal RNA", at positions 899 to 1397 of the family's 1533-position model. The record is from RNAcentral.
ACUCAAAUGAAUUGACGGGGACCCGCACAAGCGGUGGAGCGCGUGGUUUAAUUCGUUAAUAACCGAAGAACCUUACCAAGGCUUGACAUGUCUGGAAUCUUAGUGAAAGCUAGGAGUGCCGCAAGGAGCCAGAACACAGGUGCUGCAUGGCUGUCGUCAGCUCGUGUCGUGAGAUGUUGGGUUAAGUCCCUCAACGAGCGCAACCCUCGUCACUAGUUGUAUUUCUAGUGAUACUGCCACGCCAAAACGUGGAGGAAGGUGGGGAUGACGUCUAGUCCGCAUUGUCCUUACGCCUUGGGCCACACACACGCUACAAUGGCAUAGACAAUGAGUUGCGAAACCGCAAGGUGGAGCUAAUCUCCAAACUAUGUCCCAGUUCGGAUUGUCGGCUGAAAUUCGCCGGCAUGAAGUUGGAAUCGCUAGUAACCGUGUGUCAGCAUGGCACGGUGAAUACGUUCUCGGGUCUUGUACACACCGCCCGU